This is a long non-coding RNA of Zonotrichia leucophrys gambelii, 389 nucleotides long. RefSeq lists it as uncharacterized. The record is from RefSeq and is a predicted model, not a curated record. The transcript has 3 exons. NCBI's taxonomy places the organism in Eukaryota, Metazoa, Chordata, Aves, Passeriformes, Passerellidae.
GAGGCCUCAGUGGUCUGAAGAGUUGCCCUUGAGAACCCAUCAAUAAGUUUCAGGAUUCUAUAUGAGAUGGAGUCUUUGUCCCUUUCCAACAAAUGGUUAAAGGCAGCUUUGAAUUGGAGAAAGCUUUGUGUCUGCUGCUUAUGGGGGAGGGAAAGUGCUAAUCAUUCUUGGAGAAGCUGGCUGAAACCAAUCCACCCCAACCCAUAGUAUGUUCUGGUGUUUCACUGAUGGAAACAAGAAAAAAAAAGCUGAAGAAAAAGAAAAGUGAAUUAUCCUAAUGCCAUUCCUGAAUUCUUGAGGUGGCGGUGGAAAUAUCCCAAGGUAAUAUGUAAGAUAUGGAUUUGUACAGUUUACUCUUUCUAAUGAUAUGAAGUUUUUGCAGUGACAAA